ACCUACCCACAUGCAUAUACGGCUCUGUCUUGUUAGCAUGCACUAGAGAGACUCUUCCGAUAACCUCAAAGAAACAAGCUGCUAUGAUAUAAAUUGCCCAUGCAGAGCAUCACAUAGCAGGAAAACAUGGGUGGUCUCUAAAAGCUGAGGACCUCAGUCCUAUAGCUGCAAGGAGCUGAAUUCUGAAUUCUGCCAACAAUCAUAGGCAGUUAGAAGAGGAACCUGAGUUCAAGAUGAGAAUGCGGGUGGCUGACACCUUGAUUGCAGCCUUGAGCAGAGGAACUACUCAGAAAAAAAUUGCCCUAUGGAAUUUCUGAAGAGAAAACAAUCUUUAUUUUUCCUUGGCAAGUAGAACUCCCACCUGUCAAGUCUGAUCUCUAGGCUAAAGAUUUGGAAUCUAUACAGGUAAUCCAAGAUGGACCAGAAAUUCAGGAUCUUCACGGUUAACGUGGUGGCAGUCAGAAAGAAAUGCAAUAGAACUAAUUUAAGUUCUAGAUCAUGAUAGCCUGUGAUAUGGUUAUGAUCUGCUAUUGUUCGUGAUUUCCUGUACCAUCAUAUGACACAAUGAAGAGAUGACCAUGUGCAAACCACAUAGAGUACCCUUACCAGACACUAGAGCUGGCAGAAAUUUGAUCUUGGACUUCCCAGUCUCCAGAACUGUGAGAAAUAAAUGUUUGUUGUUUAUGAAACUUAGUCUAUGGUAUUCUGUUAUAUAGCAGCUUGAGCUGACUAAUGUGAUAUUAUUAAGUCAAGAAAAACAAUUGGAUAAUUUAUCAAGAUUAUUUUAUGGCAGACAAUUUAUUUCAACAUUACUUAAAAGCAUUGAAACUUUUCUAUGCUGAGAAUUACAGUGCUGCUGGUGAAAGUGGUGCUAGAGCUUGUGUGUGUGUCUGUGUGUGUGUCUAAUCGCAUUCAGGGAGCAUUUGUUUAGUCUGUUUUAAUGCUAUCAGAGCUAACAUUUGUGUAUGUUUGUUUUCUUUAUCUCAGCUCUGGCAAAUCCAUGAAAAACAGAUGAAAGCCAAAUCUUUCAUUAUUUCUAAAUCCCUGAUUAUGACAUAUUUCUCCUACAACGUGUCCCAAAAGAAUGAGAAAAGCAUCUGUAACUACGCACAGGUUAUGUUGUAGUCCCCUCAGUAGCAUUUUGUCCAUAUGGAGCUUAAUUCUGUAAACUACCUAUAACUAGGUAUAAAAUUCAGACAGAAAAUAGCAAUUUAUCACAAGUGUCCAGCUGGCUUCUUCUUCUAAGUGGUUAUUUCCUAAUCUGCAAUCCAGCCAUUCACUGCCCACUCACAUUUUUGAGCUAUAAAAUCAAUAAUAAAUAGCAAGAACAUUCCCUUGAGAGCUUAGCCAUGCAUUCCAACUGGG
RNAcentral lists this long non-coding RNA (1365 nucleotides) under Homo sapiens (human). RNAcentral describes it as "HSALNT0086103". Lineage: Eukaryota; Metazoa; Chordata; Mammalia; Primates; Hominidae. The record is from RNAcentral.